GAGCCUUUGUGAGGACACAACAUAUACGUGCCACAAAGGGUGAAUGUCACAAGCUUCUUUUCAGACAGCCUCUGCCUUCAAAUAUGGAACCACAGGAUAACAUCUGAUGUUUGGCUGUGGAGCUUUUGGCAGUGAGGUUCUGACAGUUCAUAAGGCUGAGUGGGGCUGGCGUUCUUCCUUUGAAAACAUCUCCCAUUCAUUGGGAUUCCUGUGUUGUGAGCUGAGCAACAGUUUCAGCCAAGUAGGAUUUUAAAAAACAACACGCAUGAACACACCUGCCAUCCAAAACCACAGCUUAAGGUCUGCCCCAAAAGAAAUGUUCCACAGUUGUGAGAAAGCAGCCCAGCCUUGGAUGCUGGAUAGAAGAAGGGGGCGAUAAAAUGCAUAGAAGCACUAACAAGGCAGUGGGGCACAACUGCACUCCCUCGUUCCCCACCUCCAGCUCAUGUCUGGUCUUUGCGGGCUGCAGACAGCUCCCCUGUCCUUGUGCUUCAGAAAGGCCUGCUGAACAAAGCUGAAGCCACCAGAGAAACAUCAGAAACAAGAUAAAGACAAAAGAGGGUGUGGAAUCUCCUCAAUUUCUGGAUGCUUGCCAGUUCUCUCCCUCACCCCCCCCCAUGCCAUUCUUCAGAAUAAAGUAAGCCCCAGUGGUUUCUGCUCUGAAUUGACAAGGCAUGGCUGUUCUGAAUGAAUGCUGCAUCAUGUACCCGAGGCAGCGCUAAACUAGUAACAUUUUUUAGAAAUUAAAAAUUCUAAGUAGUGCCAACUCUAGGGGUACAAACCUGAUGAAGUAAUGGCAAACCAUCAGAGCCCACCUCAAUGAGACAUUACCCUCAAUGUGAUCAGGGAACACCUUCCCACUGCUCCAAAGGACCACUAGGUACACUCACACAAAUGGAUAGAAGAACGCAAGUGAAAAUGCUACCAAAAACAUACAGAAGAUCACUACCACAAUGGAAGCUUUGCCAGCUGAAAAAAAUAUGCCAAAUACCCAUGGAAAAGAUUGCAAUUAAAGGUGUGAUCAGUCAGAGAAAUAGCUCGCAUUUUGGACCACUUGUGGCAUAGUCUAAUACAAGCUAUUUUCCAGCGAUUACACAACAUACAGAAGCUUGAAAAUACCCUUAAAGGUCAUUUAAAGGGAGAAUGCCCUCAGCAAACUUACUCUUUCUAGUGCAAUCAGACACAAUCUUUACUUACCAUCCGAUUGAACCCUAAGUGUAUGUCAUGUAAUAGAUAAUAAUUAUGUGCCAACAAGUCAUGUAGUUGAUGGGGAAAACCAUCAAAAUUAACAAUGAGAACUGCGGUGCAAACAACAGGUCAAUUCUUUGUCUAGUUAUGUCCUUAAUUCCAACAGAGGUAUCUGCAUAUCCCCAUAUAAUAAGUAGUAAUAUGAUAGAGAAAAAUAAAAUUUUAUUUAUAUUUACAGUAUGUAUUUUCGUGUUUGUUUCCUUCAGGCCAAAAGGCAGAAUACCAAUGCAGAAGUGUACAGACUUCCGUAUCUUGGAAGGCGAACAUACAUAUCAAGAAAUACUAUGUUCUGCCCUGUCGAAACAACUAUUCUUAAUUGGGGAAGCAAAGGAAAAAUAGUGGUUCUUUCUAAGUUUUUACUACUAGCAUUCUCUAGUCAGACUAUUGAACAGGAGCAGCAUACCUAGAAAAGCAACAGAUUGAAAGAAAGAUGCAGCUUACCACAAUUGAUCAGAGAGACAUAUUGUAUAAAGCAAAGGGCUUUACAGAUGAUUGAGGUAGGCCAGGUUCCCUAAGCUAGUGUUUCUGAGUACUAGGGGGUAUACAAUAAAUUGGUUCAGAGGAAAAUAGUCCAGGCAGCAAAUGUUUGUGCUUUGCAGUUUUUGAAUGUAACAAAAAUGACUGAAAUGAGACCGACACUAAGUUCUGUCCAUUUAAGUGACAGGAUCCAUUUAAGAACAUUACAUGGAAUCUGCCCUUCCUUAUUGCUUUGGUCUUUUGCUUGCCCCUCAGUGUCAUUGUUGUAACCAUAAAAAUGCUACACAGCUCUGGAAAAAAUUGAAUUUUGGGGAUUGAUGCUCAAGUCUGUUGCUUUAGGAGAGAAUCCCUGAAGGGGCUUGUCUGGACUCUAGAAAGUAUAUUGAACAACCUCUCACACAAUAGGUUAAGAAUCUCAUUCAUUAAUUCUCUUGGCAAACUAAUACUUAAGUAAGCAAGACUGGAAAAACUAAGAACUACUGAAUUAUUACCCAGAGUCAAAUGGUGAUAAUGCAAGAACCACAUUUGUUUUUCACUUUUUAAAAAAAACCUGCAAAAAUUAAUAUAACUAGCACAUCAGUUA
This is a non-coding RNA of Pogona vitticeps (central bearded dragon), 2308 nucleotides long. NCBI's taxonomy places the organism in Eukaryota, Metazoa, Chordata, Lepidosauria, Squamata, Agamidae. The record is from RefSeq and is a predicted model, not a curated record.